GAAAACCAUUUGCCCAGAAAUGUUUUCAUUAAUCAGGAACGAAAGUCGGAGGUUCGAAGACGAUCAGAUACCGU
Long non-coding RNA from Thalassophryne amazonica, 74 nucleotides. RefSeq lists it as uncharacterized. The record is from RefSeq and is a predicted model, not a curated record. The transcript is spliced from 3 exons. Lineage: Eukaryota; Metazoa; Chordata; Actinopteri; Batrachoidiformes; Batrachoididae.